CAGUGGGGAAUUCUUCACAAUGGGUGAAAGCCUGAUGGAGCACCUUCGCGAGAGGGAGGAAGGUCUAUGGAUUGUCAACUUCUUUUCUCAAGGAAGAAGUUCUGACGGUUCAAGAGGAAUCAGCCUCGGCAGUAUCAAUGCCAGCAGCCGCGGUAAUACGGGGGAGGCAAGCGUUAUCCGGAAUUAUUGGGCGUAAAGCGUCCGCAGCUGGUCAUCCAAGUAUGGUGUCAAUCCAGGGUGCUUAACGGCCUAAAGGCGGUGGAAAAUGGCAGCCUAGAUAGCAGUAGGGGUAGCACGUAUUUCCAGUGUAGCGGUGAAAUGCGUAGAGAAAGCGAAGAACAUCCCAGGGGACAGUCAUCCAGCGGGCUGCAUGGGACAAUCAGGGACGACAGCUAGGGGAGCGAAAGGGAUUAGAUACCCCCGUAGGC
RNAcentral lists this ribosomal RNA (428 nucleotides) under uncultured bacterium. RNAcentral's name for it is "bacterial SSU rRNA". It matches the Rfam family "Bacterial small subunit ribosomal RNA", at positions 352 to 795 of the family's 1533-position model. The record is from RNAcentral.